RNAcentral lists this ribosomal RNA (217 nucleotides) under Beauveria brongniartii. Its description in RNAcentral is "partial 18S rRNA". It matches the Rfam family "Eukaryotic small subunit ribosomal RNA", at positions 1617 to 1831 of the family's 1831-position model. Lineage: Eukaryota; Fungi; Ascomycota; Sordariomycetes; Hypocreales; Cordycipitaceae. The record is from RNAcentral. RNAcentral also lists the same sequence under 2 other names.
GUAAGCGCAAGUCAUCAGCUUGCGUUGAUUACGUCCCUGCCCUUUGUACACACCGCCCGUCGCUACUACCGAUUGAAUGGCUCAGUGAGGCGUCCGGACUGGCCCAGGGAGGUGGGCAACUACCCCCCAGGGCCGGAAAGCUCUCCAAACUCGGUCAUUUAGAGGAAGUAAAAGUCGUAACAAGGUCUCCGUUGGUGAACCAGCGGAGGGAUCAUUA